RNAcentral lists this unclassified non-coding RNA (26 nucleotides) under Mus musculus (house mouse). RNAcentral describes it as "oocyte_clustered_small_RNA11225". The record is from RNAcentral. Lineage: Eukaryota; Metazoa; Chordata; Mammalia; Rodentia; Muridae.
UGGGCUCUAACUUUCUGCCUGCUAAU